RNAcentral lists this long non-coding RNA (336 nucleotides) under Setaria viridis. Its description in RNAcentral is "long non-coding RNA (SVIR_LNC004466)". Lineage: Eukaryota; Viridiplantae; Streptophyta; Magnoliopsida; Poales; Poaceae. The record is from RNAcentral.
GGUCUUGGGCUCUCGUGUAAAAUGUAUAACCAUUUAUCUCGUAACCUUGAAAUUUCAUGAUUGUGCUAGAAGAUCCCCUGGCUAACCAAGCGAGUUGUUCGUGAAUUGUGGAGUUACCCAUAAGGUGUUGACGCAACCAAGAGGGAAAAGUAUUCAUGUGAUGAUGUAUAAUCCAGGCAUCGGAUUUCAUCGGGUAUUGGGAAAAUAAAAUCUGCUUGUGUUCCUCGAUAUACGGAGCCAUAAAGAAUAAUUGUUGCAGAACAGUGAAGUGUGUUUUAUUGAACAAAUCAGUAUCAUUGCUCAAACUUGAUUUUCUUCCAAGGGUGCCCAUUCCCC